CAGAAAUUGAAAAUAGAUCUUGGAAGUGAAAGAAACGCAGAGGGGGUGGGCGUCCUACAGAGAAAAUGUCUGAGACUUGUAUUGGAACCCCAGCAGAAGGAGCACUAGAUAUGGGGGCUUAGAAUGAAGAGUCUGGGUUUGGUCUGAGGAAGCAUCUCAGACUUGGAUGUCACUCUACCUCACUUUCCCCGUGGUAAUGUUCUGGAUCUCCAAUCAGGCUGAGUGGUUCGAGGACUAUGUUGUCCAGCGCAAGAGGGAGCUGUGGCCACGAGAGAAAGAGGGCCAGCGCCAGGAGCUAGAGGAAUUUAAACAGAAGAUCCGGAAGCAGAGGGAAGAAAGACUUCUUCAAGCUGCCCAGCAGAGCUCCUGAGACCUUCAGUUCCUCAAGUUCCAGACACCCCCCCCCCCCAGGAAAUAACACACACUGAACUCUCUGUCGCU
RNAcentral lists this long non-coding RNA (441 nucleotides) under Rattus norvegicus (Norway rat). RNAcentral describes it as "long non-coding RNA NONRATT007216". The record is from RNAcentral. Lineage: Eukaryota; Metazoa; Chordata; Mammalia; Rodentia; Muridae.